AACGCUAGCUACAGGCUUAACACAUGCAAGUCGAGGGGCAGCAUGGUCUUAGCUUGCUAAGGCCGAUGGCGACCGGCGCACGGGUGAGUAACACGUAUCCAACCUGCCGUCUACUCUUGGACAGCCUUCUGAAAGGAAGAUUAAUACAAGAUGGCAUCAUGAGUCCGCAUGUUCACAUGAUUAAAGGUAUUCCGGUAGACGAUGGGGAUGCGUUCCAUUAGAUAGUAGGCGGGGUAACGGCCCACCUAGUCUUCGAUGGAUAGGGGUUCUGAGAGGAAGGUCCCCCACAUUGGAACUGAGACACGGUCCAAACUCCUACGGGAGGCAGCAGUGAGGAAUAUUGGUCAAUGGGCGCAGGCCUGAACCAGCCAAGUAGCGUGAAGGAUGACUGCCCUAUGGGUUGUAAACUUCUUUUAUAAAGGAAUAAAGUCGGGUAUGGAUACCCGUUUGCAUGUACUUUAUGAAUAAGGAUCGGCUAACUCCGUGCCAGCAGCCGCGGUAAUACGGAGGAUCCGAGCGUUAUCCGGAUUUAUUGGGUUUAAAGGGAGCGUAGAUGGAUGUUUAAGUCAGUUGUGAAAGUUUGCAGCUCAACCGUAAAAUUGCAGUUGAUACUGGAUAUCUUGAGUGCAGUUGAGGCAGGCGGAAUUCGUGGUGUAGCGGUGAAAUGCUUAGAUAUCACGAAGAACUCCGAUUGCGAAGGCAGCCUGCUAAGCUGCAACUGACAUUGAGGCUCGAAAGUGUGGGUAUCAAACAGGAUUAGAUACCCUGGUAGUCCACACGGUAAACGAUGAAUACUCGCUGUUUGCGAUAUACAGCAAGCGGCCAAGCGAAAGCGUUAAGUAUUCCACCUGGGGAGUACGCCGGCAACGGUGAAACUCAAAGGAAUUGACGGGGGCCCGCACAAGCGGAGGAACAUGUGGUUUAAUUCGAUGAUACGCGAGGAACCUUACCCGGGCUUAAAUUGCAGAUGAAUUACGGUGAAAGCCGUAAGCCGCAAGGCAUCUGUGAAGGUGCUGCAUGGUUGUCGUCAGCUCGUGCCGUGAGGUGUCGGCUUAAGUGCCAUAACGAGCGCAACCCUUGUUGUCAGUUACUAACAGGUUCCGCUGAGGACUCUGACAAGACUGCCAUCGUAAGAUGUGAGGAAGGUGGGGAUGACGUCAAAUCAGCACGGCCCUUACGUCCGGGGCUACACACGUGUUACAAUGGGGGGUACAGAGGGCCGCUACCACGCGAGUGGAUGCCAAUCCCCAAAACCUCUCUCAGUUCGGACUGGAGUCUGCAACCCGACUCCACGAAGCUGGAUUCGCUAGUAAUCGCGCAUCAGCCACGGCGCGGUGAAUACGUUCCCGGGCCUUGUACACACCGCCCGUCAAGCCAUGGGAGCCGGGGGUACCUGAAGUGCGUAACCGCGAGGAGCGCCCUAGGGUAAAACUGGUGACUGGGGC
Molecule: ribosomal RNA, 1445 nt
Filed under: uncultured organism
Description: SSU rRNA
Rfam family: Bacterial small subunit ribosomal RNA
Source: RNAcentral